RNAcentral lists this ribosomal RNA (253 nucleotides) under uncultured bacterium. RNAcentral's name for it is "partial 16S ribosomal RNA". It matches the Rfam family "Bacterial small subunit ribosomal RNA", at positions 524 to 776 of the family's 1533-position model. The record is from RNAcentral.
UACGUAGGGGGCAAGCGUUGUCCGGAUUUAUUGGGCGUAAAGAGCGUGUAGGCGGCCAGGGAGGUCCGUUGUGAAAACUCGAGGCUCAACCUCGAGACGCCGAUGGAAACCCCCUGGCUAGAGUCCGGAAGAGGAGAGUGGAAUUCCUGGUGUAGCGGUGAAAUGCGCAGAUAUCAGGAAGAACACCCGUGGCUAAGGCGGCUCUCUAGUACGGUACUGACGCUGAGACGCGAAAGCGUGGGGAGCAAACAGG